Molecule: long non-coding RNA, 1798 nt
Organism: Aphis gossypii (cotton aphid)
Lineage: Eukaryota; Metazoa; Arthropoda; Insecta; Hemiptera; Aphididae
Exons: 3
Source: RefSeq, a predicted model, not a curated record
AUGGAAAUAAUUAUAAUUCCAAUAAAAUAAAAUAAAAUAAACUGACAGUAGUCAAUUAAUAAAUAUUAAUUAUAUUUAUGAAUUAAUAAAUAAAAUACAUGUAUCUUUGAAUUUUAAAACCAUUAAGUUAAUUAUUGAUAGAGCAAAAGUAUUAUUAAAUUAAUACAAACUUUAUAAUAAUAAUAAUAAAAUAACGUUAGAAAAAAACUAAUGUACAGAUAUCUAAUCACGUAAAAUUGUAUUAAAAACGUUGUAAUUAAUCUGAUUAAAAAUAUGAAAGUUGAUAUAUAGACCGAUAUAUGACAUCGAUGACUGACGAGUUCAGCGUUCACUUAGAAUUUUUUCUCAGUAAGCUUUUUUAAUUUUAAAAGCAUUCGUUGUUUACAAAAAUUAAUAUAACAUGACAGUAUGACGUAUAGAAAAAUCGAUUAAUAAAUAUUAUUAAAAACUGAUUUCCAACCAUACAUAAUUUUAUCAGUUGGUUUUUAUUUUUCACUGUAUUAUAUUUUUAUCUAUUUUUAUUCUAUAUGUUAAAAAAACUAAACAUAUGGCAUACUUUAUCAAUUAUUGUUUUUAAAUAUUUUAUCAAACAAAUCGAUAUAAAGAAAUAAAGUUAUUAUUCUAAUGAUAUAUUAAAUGUUCACCAAAACUAUAAUUUACAAAGACAUGUCGUUUCAGUUACCAUCAGUUAAGGAUCCCAUGGUUACUAAUAAUAUUUCCUAUAAAGUAGCUAAGGAAAACCAUGAAAAGUAUUGUAAAAAUGUAUAAUACAUAUUAUUUUAAUUUCAUUUCUUUUUAUACAAUUUUUUUUGUAUGAAAAAAAGGAAAAUGCUGUUUUUUGUUUGUGUUUUAGUAUUUUUUAACAAUUCAUUUUAGAAAAUUAGCGUUAUAUAAACAACAUUUUUUGUACUAUGUUGUAUACUGUAUUUAUUUGAUUUUUAAUUUUUUUUGUUUUUAUACAAAAUACACUGAUGAAACAAUAAUAAAUAAUCAGAAAUUUCAGUUUAAUCACCAACAAUUAUUUUUAGAAUAGUUCUAAAUAUUACAUACAUUUAAUAAUUGUUACAAUGUUAUUAAGCUAAAAAAAAAAUGAAUAACCGUCAAAUAAAUUCAAGGGAUAUUACGCUUGAAGAACGCGAAAACCAAAUAUAAAAGUUAAGCCAAUACUUUAAGAUCCGGAAUUUCAAACCAUACAAAAUCAAUAAUGAACGGAGAAAUCAAUCAAUUAGAAAAUGUAUCACAACAUUUCAACAAUUUUGGGAGUUAAUGAAUUAAAUAUUGAAUGUUUUUAUAACUGUAAAAGCACUACAAGCAUAUAUAUAAAAUUAGAAGUGGAGACUCUACCUAGUCUAAAUUUCAUGUUGUGGAGCGAAAUUAAUAAAAAAAAAUAAGACGUAUAAGCGACAACAUAUAUCUACGAAAAAAGUACAACAAUACAGUUACAUUAUGCAUGUUGGGGCUAUUGUGUUCGUGUUGUAUAGGCAGAAGCUUCGGAACAUAGCGGGAAUGCGGUUUUCCACAGAGACAUCGAAAAUAAUGAUUAACUGUAUUAUAUAUGUAUACAUUUUACGAGUCCAUCAGAAUAAUAUAUUAUACUUCGCCACAAAUAGGAUUCGUCGUAAUUUACUACACCGAAAGGACUGUGGACUCGUAGAGCUUUAUAUUUAUUUUAAUAUGCAAUCGAUUUGUGCUAAUAAUAAUGAUUAUACGAAAAUAUAUAGAACGAAUUUUACAUAGGCAUAGGCAAUACAAAUAGAACAGAAGAUGGACGUCACACCUGUCGUAUUUAUAUUUUGUA